AGCAGCCGCGGUAAUUCCAGCUCCAAUAGCGUAUAUUAAAGUUGUUGCAGUUAAAAAGCUCGUAGUUGAAUUUCGGGGCCAGUAGGUCGGUCGUGCCACUGGUAUGCACUGGUCUCACUGGUCCCUCCUUCUUGUAGAACCGUGAUGGCAUUAAUUUGUUGUUGCGGGGAAACAGGACUGUUACUUUGAAAAAAUUAGAGUGCUUAAAGCAGGCUCGCGCUUGAAUACAUUAGCAUGGAAUAACGAAAUAGGACGAUCGAACCUAUUUUGUUGGUUCCUAGGAUCGACGUAAUGAUUAAUAGGGAUAGUUAGGGGCAUUAGUAUUCAAUUGUCAGAGGUGAAAUUCUUGGAUUUAUUGAAGACUAACUACUGCGAAAGCAUUUGCCAAGGAUGUUUUCAUUAAUCAAGACGAAAGUUAGGGGAUCGAAGACGAUCAGAUACCGUCGUAGUCUUAACCAUAAACUAUGCCGACUAGGGAUCGGAUGAAGUUAAUUUUUUAAUGACUCAUUCGGCGCCUUAA
Molecule: ribosomal RNA, 520 nt
Filed under: uncultured Glomus
Lineage: Eukaryota; Fungi; Glomeromycota; Glomeromycetes; Glomerales; Glomeraceae
Description: SSU rRNA
Rfam family: Eukaryotic small subunit ribosomal RNA
Source: RNAcentral